ACCGUUUUAAUAUCCCUAUCUGUAAUAUUUCCCACUCAUUACUCUUGCGAGAUGAGAAUCUAGGAAUUGUACUAGACGCUAAAAUUGUUUUUCCAGCAAUGCCAUGUUAAAAUCAUGGAUCAUACGGAAACCAAGACCACCUUCCUCUUUUCGGUAACACAUGUUUUCCUAUUUUGCCAAUGCAUCUCUUGUUUAGGUGGAUUUGAGCUACACUAUAAUCGUGCAAUGGUACUCGCAUGAUUUUCACAGAUAUCCAAUGGUAACAUGAAACUAGACAUAACAUAGGUUGGAAGAGCUAGGGCAAUGGAUUUUAUCUCUCUCUUUUCUCCCUGUUCACACAUACAAAUCUUUCACAGGGAGAAAAAGUUAUGUCUUUGUUUUGAUGUAAUACAAUGUCUCUGAUCUAAAAAUUCACCUUUUGUUGUAUAAAAGUUCGGAUUUUUAGAUUGAUUUUUUUCUGUUUCGCGAAUGCAAAAGUGGAUGCUUUCAAAAUCUUAUUUCUUUCUCCGAUCUGUUUUGAACAAUAAAAUUCCAAUUUUAAAUCGGAUUUGUUGAUGAGAGUGGCUCUUUGAGUUCCAAAUCAACUCUGACCGAAUCUCUAAACAACCGGACCCAUCUUUUCUGAUUGGGCAAUAUCGCGUCUUUUUGAUGCGGCAGUCCUUAGUGGGCGGCUUAAAAGUUUCAGACUCAAAGUUAUUGGAAACGGUGGAUGCGGUAAGAUGAUGAAGAUUGUGGAAGAGUGGGAAAGGCGAUUGUAGAGACAACUCUAAAAGAUGGUGUUGGAAGAUGAAGCUUCGAAGCUUGCGACAUCUCAAUUCUUAGUGGAUGUGGGUGAUGCGAUUUUAGGCGGAGGAGACGAAAGGGUUUCAAGCCGCGGCGUAGAAGCUUUCCGACGCCCGAAAGAGAAGCUUCGGGAAGGAGAAGAUCGGGCUUGGGCAUGAUGGACGUGUGUCAAGGGACCUCCGAAUAGCGUAUGCGAGUAUAAUCAAGUCGGUGAUUA
RNAcentral lists this long non-coding RNA (1000 nucleotides) under Brassica napus (rape). RNAcentral's name for it is "long non-coding RNA (BNAP_LNC002385)". The record is from RNAcentral. Lineage: Eukaryota; Viridiplantae; Streptophyta; Magnoliopsida; Brassicales; Brassicaceae.